GUUUGUCUUGUUUCUACAUCUUCUUUUCAUCUACUAGGCAUGGUAAUGAAAGCCUACGUGGGAAUGGUGCUUCUUCAGAAGCCAAAAAGCAGACCAUCCCAGCUGACAUCAGAAACAUCAAUGCACAGAAGAGGCAGCACUGAUUCCUUGUGAGGCUGCACUGAUCUACAUGGGCUGAAGAUGCAUUCUGCCAGUCACCCCUGGUUCAAUCUGACUCCUUCUUGCCACUGCCAUUUUGAGAGUAAAAGCGCUUCUUGUGAGAACAUAAAUUGGAUCCCCACAGCUACAAGAAAGACACGAGAGCCCUCUGUGACAGUACAGCCCUGCUCUGCCCUUUUCAUCUCCUACCAACGUGUCUCCUGA
Molecule: long non-coding RNA, 363 nt
Filed under: Phasianus colchicus (ring-necked pheasant)
Lineage: Eukaryota; Metazoa; Chordata; Aves; Galliformes; Phasianidae
Description: lncRNA (ENSPCLG00000004802.1)
Source: RNAcentral